UACGGAGGAUCCGAGCGUUAUCCGGAUUUAUUGGGUUUAAAGGGUGCGCAGGCGGGAUGUUAAGUCGGCGGUGAAAUUUUGCAGCUCAACUGUAAAAGUGCCUUCGAUACUGGCUUUCUUGAGUGUGGAUGAAGUAGGCGGAAUUUGUGGUGUAGCGGUGAAAUGCUUAGAUAUCACGAGGAACUCCGAUUGCGCAGGCAGCUUACUAAACCACUACUGACGCUCAUGCACGAAGGCGUGGGGAUCAAACAGGAUUAGAUACCCGU
This 266-nucleotide ribosomal RNA is filed under the name uncultured prokaryote. RNAcentral's name for it is "partial 16S ribosomal RNA". It matches the Rfam family "Bacterial small subunit ribosomal RNA", at positions 524 to 789 of the family's 1533-position model. The record is from RNAcentral.